UCCCUGGUGGCUCAGAUGGUAAAGCGUCUGCCUACAAUGUGGGAGACCUGGGUUCAAUCCCUAGGUUGGGAA
This 72-nucleotide transfer RNA is filed under the name Ovis aries (sheep). It matches the Rfam family "tRNA". From Rfam's summary of the family: Transfer RNA (tRNA) molecules are approximately 80 nucleotides in length. Their secondary structure includes four short double-helical elements and three loops (D, anti-codon, and T loops). Lineage: Eukaryota; Metazoa; Chordata; Mammalia; Artiodactyla; Bovidae. The record is from Rfam by way of RNAcentral.